UACGUAGGGUGCAAGCGUUAAUCGGAAUUACUGGGCGUAAAGCGUGCGCAGGCGGUUGUGUAAGACAGAUGUGAAAUCCCCGGGCUCAACCUGGGAACUGCAUUUGUGACUGCACGGCUCGAGUGCGGCAGAGGGGGAUGGAAUUCCGCGUGUAGCAGUGAAAUGCGUAGAUAUGCGGAGGAACACCGAUGGCGAAGGCAAUCCCCUGGGCCUGCACUGACGCUCAUGCACGAAAGCGUGGGGAGUAAACAGG
RNAcentral lists this ribosomal RNA (253 nucleotides) under uncultured bacterium. RNAcentral's name for it is "partial 16S ribosomal RNA". It matches the Rfam family "Bacterial small subunit ribosomal RNA", at positions 524 to 776 of the family's 1533-position model. The record is from RNAcentral.